Molecule: transfer RNA, 77 nt
Filed under: Campylobacterota bacterium
Lineage: Bacteria; Pseudomonadati; Campylobacterota
Also listed under: 1 other name
Description: Epsilonproteobacteria bacterium (hydrothermal vent metagenome) tRNA-Arg
Rfam family: tRNA
About the family: Transfer RNA (tRNA) molecules are approximately 80 nucleotides in length.
Source: RNAcentral
GGCCCCGUAGCUCAGUUGGAUAGAGCGCCAGCCUCCGGAGCUGGAGGUCGUAGGUUCGAAUCCUGCCGGGGUCACCA